UUCCAUUAGGAUAUUGUUCCAUUUAACUUUUUAUUCAAACUUGUCAGUCUUCUAAAACAGCCUUAUAUAUUAUUGAUUGCUUCUAUAUCAUGCUUAUUAUUGAAGUGAAUCUAAAACUUCCCUACAUGUUGUUCUAGGCUUCUUAUGCUUUUUGCUUUAACAUUUCCAUGUCCCAUAGAAUAUAUAUUAUCAUGUCAUGAGCAAUAAGAAAUAGCUUCUCAUUCAUCAUACGUUGCAUGUGGUUUGAGAACCAAAAAUCUUGUGCAAAUUUCUCAUGUCUUAAAGGGUGUUGCAAUGGAAGGUUUGGAAUCAAAGAUGAAUUUGGCACCUUCCCCUUCAAUGACAUUUGAUGCUAAUCAAUCAAACAAAAGGACUGUCAAAAAAGGGUCAGACCCAAUUCACAAUAGAAGUUGAAUUGUUUUGGCGAUUGACAUAUGCUCUUCCAAUGUUGGUUAGUUUAUUAGUUUUGUUGAGUUUGUUUGUCAGGUGAAGAAUUGCAGCUGAAAACUCAUCUUUGUAUCAGCACCAUUUCUGAUUGUGUAGAGAUAUUUUUAGAUAAUGGGGCAGAUAUUUGGUAAUAUUGUUAGCUGUCAAAUAGAUAAUAUAAAGAAAUUUACUUUAUUUA
Lathyrus oleraceus (garden pea) is the source of this 625-nucleotide long non-coding RNA. RefSeq lists it as uncharacterized. The record is from RefSeq and is a predicted model, not a curated record. The transcript has 2 exons. NCBI's taxonomy places the organism in Eukaryota, Viridiplantae, Streptophyta, Magnoliopsida, Fabales, Fabaceae.